AGAGUUUGAUCAUGGCUCAGAAUGAACGUUGGCGGCGUGGAUUAGGCAUGCAAGUCGUGCGCGAUUUUACGGAUUGAAACUUCGGUCGAUUGAAGUAAUUGAAAGCGGCGAAAGGGAGAGUAACGCGUGGAUAUCUGCCCUUGGCUCCAGGAUAGCUACGGGAAACUGUAGGUAAUACUGGAUAAUAUCUCCGGAUCAAAGGUGUGAUUCCGGCCGAGGAUGAGUCCGCGUCCUAUUAGGUUGUUGGCGGGGUAAUGGCCCACCAAGCCGAAGAUGGGUACCGGGUGUGAGAGCAUGGCCCGGCUCACUGGGACUGAGACACUGCCCAGACGUCUACGGACGGCUGCAGUCGAGAAUCUUCCGCAAUGGACGAAAGUCUGACGGAGCGACGCCGCGUGCGGGAUGAAGGCCUUCGGGUUGUAAACCGCUGUCAGUUGGGAGGAAAUGCCAUAGGGUUCUCUCUAUGGUUUGACCGAUCUUCAGAGGAAGUACGGGCUAAGUUCGUGCCAGCAGCCGCGGUAAUACGAACCGUACGAACGUUAUUCGGAAUCACUGGGCUUAAAGAGUCCGUAGGCGGCUUAAAAGGUGAGGUGUGAAAUCCCACGGCUCAACCGUGGAACUGCGCUUCAAACCAUUAAGCUAGAGGGAGAUAGAGGAAAGCGGAACUGAUGGUGGAGCGGUGAAAUGCGUUGAUAUCAUCAGGAACACUGGUGGCGAAAGCGGCUUUCUGGGUCUCUUCUGACGCUGAGGGACGAAAGCUAGGGGAGCGAACGGGAUUAGAUACCCUAGUAGUCC
Molecule: ribosomal RNA, 795 nt
Filed under: uncultured bacterium
Lineage: Bacteria
Description: bacterial SSU rRNA
Rfam family: Bacterial small subunit ribosomal RNA
Source: RNAcentral